Phascolarctos cinereus (koala) is the source of this 1182-nucleotide non-coding RNA. The record is from RefSeq and is a predicted model, not a curated record. NCBI's taxonomy places the organism in Eukaryota, Metazoa, Chordata, Mammalia, Diprotodontia, Phascolarctidae.
CUGCCGACCUGCGAGUUAAGUCCGGUCCUCCACGUGGUGUCCAGUCCUGGGCUGAGCGUGGGGGGGCAACAAAAUGGCCAGCUCUUCUGCUUGAAAAUGAAGCCAAGCAGUUCAUUACAAUAAGGCAGGAGUGAAAGCUGCUGGCAACUCUGUCACCAUGGCAGCGGCAUCUGGAGAACAUGCAAAAUGCAUUAUUCCAGGAGCUGAGAAGAUUGAUUUCUGAAUUUGUACUGCGAGGCUGGGCUGUCUGGGGGAUGUAAAAUCAAUUUUCUUUAAACCCCUGGAUUACGUGCAAUGCCAUCAUCCUUGGAAGAAGGGAAUUGCAUAUUAAAUCCUGACAUGCCUUAAAGAUGGUCAGUACCAAGUAAAUGGGAAGCCUGAAGAAAUGAAAAGGAAGAAGGAAUGGGAUUACAGCUAUGAGUCUGAGGUUCUUGAAUGCCUUAUGACCAAUCAUCUCUUUAAUAGAGUAUAACCUGGGGAAUAGUCAGUAGGGGUCCAGUCUUCAGAACAUAUGCAGGAGCCUCUUUUUGCUGCCAACCCACGUAGAGGAUUUGGUGAGCUUGUUUCUAAUGUUCAUAAUAAUGUGUAAUAGACAUGCUUUGCACCCAGUUCAGAGCAUAUGCAGGUGUUCUGUCAUUAUUUCCUGUUCAUUUUGGUGGAUACAACUCUUUUAACUUGAUUUGACCUGACAAACAGGUUAAAUUUCAUGGUCUCUUUCUUUGUGGUGAUUGAGAGAAGAAAUGCUGUAAGCUCCUGGGUGAGAAGAGAGAUGCCCAAAGCCUUUAUUUCCUCCACUAGACAAUGAACCCGUGUGGCCCAUGAACACAAGGCCCUGAUGUUUCUUCUGCCCCUAUUGUGUUUUUUUUUCUGAUUUUAAGCGAAAGAGUAUUGGAGAGAGAACAAUCUUGUGAAUUUUGCAAGUUUGGAAGAGCCAGCAGAGUUUUCCAGGAGCUGAGCCCAGUGAGCAGUGACUUCUGGGACACAAUCUGCUUGACCCAUAUCAUCAGCGGAUAGACCCAAUGCCAAGACACCAUGUAUUUGCCACAGGCAAAGAAGCAGCUCAUGAAUUGGCUGGGCUGUACCUGGACAUUAAUUCAGUGGAAGGAGGAAUAUGUGUGUAGCAUCCAUUUUGAGUUUUAGCCCACUUUCUGCAGGGACUAAAAUGGUAAGGUGGAGAAUGUG